AGAGUUUGAUCAUGGCUCAGGACGAACGCUGGCGGCGUGCCUAACACAUGCAAGUCGAACGAAUGAUGGAGAGCUUGCUCUCCAUCGUUAGUGGCGAACGGGUGCGUAACACGUGAGCAACCUACCCUGCGGCGGGGGAUAGCCGGUCUAACGGCCGGGUAAUACCGCGUACGACCUCGGGCUCGCAUGGGCCUGGGGUGAAAGCGGGCGCAAGCUCGCACCGCAAGAGGGGCUCGCGGCCUAUCAGCUAGUUGGCGGGGUAACGGCCCACCAAGGCGACGACGGGUAGCUGGUCUGAGAGGAUGAUCAGCCACAUUGGGACUGAGAUACGGCCCAGACUCCUACGGGAGGCAGCAGUGGGGAAUAUUGCGCAAUGGCCGAAAGGCUGACGCAGCGACGCCGUGUGUGGGAUGAAGGCCUUCGGGUUGUAAACCACUGUCAGGGGGGACGAAUACUCGGCCUCGAAUAGGGGACCGAGGGUGACGGUACCCCCAGAGGAAGCACCGGCUAACUCCGUGCCAGCAGCCGCGGUAAUACGGGGGGUGCUAGCGUUGUCCGGAAUCACUGGGCGUAAAGCGCACGUAGGCGGCCUUUUAAGUCGCUUGUGAAAUCCCGGGGCUCAACUCCGGGGCUGCAGGCGAUACUGGAUGGCUAGAGCUCGGUAGAGGCGAGUGGAAUUCCCGGUGUAGCGGUGGAAUGCGUAGAUAUCGGGAAGAACACCAGUGGCGAAGGC
RNAcentral lists this ribosomal RNA (733 nucleotides) under uncultured bacterium. Its description in RNAcentral is "bacterial SSU rRNA". It matches the Rfam family "Bacterial small subunit ribosomal RNA", at positions 8 to 722 of the family's 1533-position model. The record is from RNAcentral.